AAACUAACAAGGAUUCCCCUAGUAACGGCGAGUGAACCGGGAAAAGCUCAAAUUUGAAAUCUGGCGUCCUCAGGGCGUCCGAGUUGUAAUCUAUAGAGGCGUUUUCCGUGCCGGACCGUGUCCAAGUCCCUUGGAACAGGGUAUCAAAGAGGGUGACAAUCCCGUACUUGACACGACUACCGGUGCUCUGUGAUACGUCUUCUACGAGUCGAGUUGUUUGGGAAUGCAGCUCAAAAUGGGUGGUGAGUUCCAUCUAAAGCUAAAUAUUGGCGAGAGACCGAUAGCGAACAAGUACCGUGAGGGAAAGAUGAAAAGCACUUUGGAAAGAGAGUUAAACAGUACGUGAAAUUGUUGAAAGGGAAACGAUUGAAGUCAGUCGUGACCGAGAGGCUCAGCCGGCUCUGCCGGUGUAUUCCCCUCGGUCGGGUCAACAUCAGUUUUGUCCGGUGGAUAAGGGCGGUAGGAAGGUGGCACCCACGGGUGUGUUAUAGCCUGCCGUCGCAUACACUGGGUGAGACUGAGGAAUGCAGCUCGCCUUUAUGGCCGGGGUUCGCCCACGUCCGAGCUUAGGAUGUUGACAUAAUGGCUUUAAACGAC
This 597-nucleotide ribosomal RNA is filed under the name Papiliotrema aff. laurentii CBS 9007. RNAcentral describes it as "eukaryotic LSU rRNA". It matches the Rfam family "Eukaryotic large subunit ribosomal RNA", at positions 62 to 648 of the family's 3401-position model. Lineage: Eukaryota; Fungi; Basidiomycota; Tremellomycetes; Tremellales; Rhynchogastremaceae. The record is from RNAcentral.